Molecule: ribosomal RNA, 235 nt
Filed under: uncultured Rhodocyclales bacterium
Lineage: Bacteria; Pseudomonadati; Pseudomonadota; Betaproteobacteria; Rhodocyclales
Description: partial 16S ribosomal RNA
Rfam family: Bacterial small subunit ribosomal RNA
Source: RNAcentral
CGAACGGGUGAGUAAUACAUCGGAACGUGUCGAGAAGAGGGGGAUAACACCCGAAAGGGUGGCUAAUACCGCAUAAAUUCUGAGGAAGAAAGCUGGGGACCUAGGAAUAGGCCUAGCGCUUUUUGAGCGGCCGAUGUCGGAUUAGCUAGUUGGUGAGGUAAAGGCUCACCAAGGCGAAGAUCUGUAGCGGGUCUGAGAGGAUGAUCCGCCACACUGGGACUGAGACACGGCCCAG